Long non-coding RNA from Onychostoma macrolepis, 325 nucleotides. RefSeq lists it as uncharacterized. The record is from RefSeq and is a predicted model, not a curated record. Lineage: Eukaryota; Metazoa; Chordata; Actinopteri; Cypriniformes; Cyprinidae. The transcript has 3 exons.
CCAGAGAGCGCUGUUUACACUAGCUAGUGUUAAUCCCCUAAAGUUCAACACCACAACUUUAACACUUUACUCUGAAAGUCCUUAACACUAGGAUUUCAACACUGGAGAUUUUGCUGUGAGAAAGUCAUUAUUUCUCAUCUCAUACUGCUGACCUGCGGCACUGAUUCAGUGUCAACAUGGUGAAGGAAUAGCACACAGGUUGUCCUUUUCCAGCUGUCUCCAAGCUGUUUGGACUCUCCUCUGACGGCACCCAUUCACUGCAUAUUAUCCAUUGGUGAGCAAGUUAUGUAAUGCUACAUUUCUCAGACUCUCUUCUGAUGAAGAA